This is an RNA transcript of Syngnathoides biaculeatus (alligator pipefish), 2188 nucleotides long. It is a transcript of the gene named Rab9 effector protein with kelch motifs, with no coding region annotated. The transcript is spliced from 8 exons. NCBI's taxonomy places the organism in Eukaryota, Metazoa, Chordata, Actinopteri, Syngnathiformes, Syngnathidae. The record is from RefSeq and is a predicted model, not a curated record.
GAGAUGUUCUAUGAGAAAGAUGUCGCAAGCGGUAAAAGUGCCUCGCUUAUGAGAAUGCACGCUAUAUAAUGUUUAACAAUAACAAUUUUGUCCUCGUUGACUAUAUUUUAACAAUAGCGUACUGUCGACGAUUUUUAAAGUGAUACUGUGAAGUCCCAACAGAAGCGGUGCGAUUGGUUCUCAAAGACUACAAGUGAAGAAUCUUUCUCGAUUCAAAACUAGGCAGUUAGCUCAUAGCAACAAGAUGCUGACGCGUGUCACAACAUUGUUCUGUCUCCCGACUACCACAGCCAUGCAAAUUCUCCCAAAGCUUGAAGCUCAUGAGAAGCCCAAACAAGGAAUAUGGUAUUCCUUGGUACCCAGCGGGAGGUCCCCGAGUGUGAGCGUGGGACACACGUGCACCUACUGGCCUGAUGAAGGAGGUCAUGGAAGGAUCUUUAUAGUUGGGGGUGCAAAUCCUGGAGGCAGCUUCUCGCAUACGCACGCCAUAAAUCUGGAGUAUCUAAAGUGGGACACUUUGCCUUGGGAGGGUCUGAAGGCCCGAUAUGAGCACUGCACAUUGGUGCCCGGGAGCCCACCACAGAGUUUAUGGGUAUUUGGAGGCGCGGAACAGAGCGGCAACCACAACUGCAUCCAGAAAAUAAAUGUAGCAGAAAGCAAGGCCCACUGGGAGAACGUCACGGUAUCAGGGGAGCCCCCAAGUCCGAGGACGUAUCACACCAACUCGGCUUGUGUGGGGAGCUCAUUAUACGUGUUUUCUGGAGGGGAAGUAGGAGCAUCACCUGUGUCUGACCAAAAGCUAUACAUCUUCGAUACCGUGUCUUCUACCUGGGCGCAGCCAGAAACACAAGGCACACUGCCGCCAGUCCGACACGGACACGUUAUAGUGGCUGCAGGCUUGAAGAUCUACAUCCAUGGCGGCAUGGCAAACGACGCGUUCUUGGAUGAUAUGUACUCUCUUGAUCUAAGGUCGUGGGGAGUGCUGGAGCCCAGCUGUCAACGAGCAGGAGGCGGGGUACACCCUGAACUGGUUGCCAGCCAAUCGCAGGGCACAUUGAGACAAACAGACACACUCACAAUCACACCGAGGGGCAAUUUAGAGUGUCGAAUUAAUGUUGCAUGUUUUUCGAAUGUGGGAGGAAACUGGAGUGCCCGGAGAAAACCCACGCAGGCAUGGGGAGAACAUGCAAACUCCACACAGGCGGGUCCAGGAUUGAAACUGGGACCUCAGAACUGUGAGGCCAACGCUUUACCAAAUGAGCCACCAUGCCGCCCAUUGACCAAUUAUCAACGGCAAUAUUCGGCUUUUUGAAAUACUAUAUUCUGGUGUCAGCCAUUUUUUAAAAUCCAAAUAUGGAUAGAGGAUUAAUUUGAAAAAGGAUACAUCUCAGAAAACUAUGAACAUGAUCAUAGGCAUUUAAAUGAAGUUUUGUGUCGGAGUUUGUGUUGUUCAAAAUUUAGACACCAAUAGUUUCCCUUUUCCAGCAAAUGACUAUUGUCUCCAAAUACAGUAUAUGUUAUCAGCCUCCUUGACUAUUAAUAAUUUGUAUUGGCCCUGAAACACACACACACGUGCAUUGUGAUUCAUCUUUAGGUUGAUUGAAUGGAUUUGGAGUGUUGUCUUUUGUACAUGUUUUGCAAGCUACUGUUAUUUGUUGCAUGUCAUAUUGCAUGUAACCAAACCCAUUUCCAAAUGACUGAGGUUACAUGCCUUUUUUUGGGGGGGAACUCUUUCUGACUCACUUGCAUCUUUCCUUUCCCCAAUGUUGGUGUUUUACAAGAGCCAGAGUGGCAAGAAUGGAGUCUCCAUCCAUUUGUCUCCAUGCAGCACGCGUUACCGCGGGAGUCUCCCAGAACAACCACAUCUCACAGAGUAGAUCACGUGAUCAAGAUGUUUAUUUGCCAUGUUGUUGGGUGAAAUUGGAAGGCUUCUCCAUUCAAACCCUCAAUAAGAUCUGGAACCAAACAAUGUGUCAACCUCCAACUUCGCGGUGUGUGACGUUCAUGCCCACUAUCGAUCACGUUAACGGUUCAAAAGGUAAUAUGACAUGGGAGUUGGUGCAGCCCGAAGGAGUCGUUCCACCUGGCGUGGCAGCUCACUCGGCCAUGGCGCUAGGCAAUAACAUCUACAUCCUCGGUGGGCUGACUGCAGAUGGAGCCAGCAAUGACAUGUACACAUUUAACAUAG